This 497-nucleotide ribosomal RNA is filed under the name uncultured bacterium. RNAcentral describes it as "partial 16S ribosomal RNA". It matches the Rfam family "Bacterial small subunit ribosomal RNA", at positions 28 to 507 of the family's 1533-position model. The record is from RNAcentral.
GAUGAACGCUGGCGGCGUGCCUAAUACAUGCAAGUCGAGCGAACAGACGAGGAGCUUGCUCCUCUGACGUUAGCGGCGGACGGGUGAGUAACACGUGGAUAACCUACCUAUAAGACUGGGAUAACUUCGGGAAACCGGAGCUAAUACCGGAUAAUAUAUUGAACCGCAUGGUUCAAUAGUGAAAGACGGUUUUGCUGUCACUUAUAGAUGGAUCCGCGCCGCAUUAGCUAGUUGGUAAGGUAACGGCUUACCAAGGCAACGAUGCGUAGCCGACCUGAGAGGGUGAUCGGCCACACUGGAGCUGAGACACGGUCCAGACUCCUACGAGAGGCAGCAGUAGGGAAUCUUCCGCAAUGGGCGAAAGCUUGACGGAGCAACGCCGCGUGAGUGAUGAAGGUCUUCGGAUCGUAAAACUCUGUUAUUAGGAAAGAACAAAUGUGUAAGUAACUAUGCACGUCUUGACGGUACCUAAUCAGAAAGCCACGGCUAACUACGUG